RNAcentral lists this non-coding RNA (214 nucleotides) under Halomonas sp. Lineage: Bacteria; Pseudomonadati; Pseudomonadota; Gammaproteobacteria; Oceanospirillales; Halomonadaceae. The record is from RNAcentral.
AUGGCAGCCAUGAAGACGGGUGCCCCUGCUGCCAGGGGAUAAUCGGGAAGUAUGGUAUGGCGCUUGCGCCUAUCCCAUCGCUGCCCCCGCAACGGUAAUGAGUGAGUCGCCUGCAACAACCACUGGCUUAGGCUGGGAAGGUGCAGGCAACGGCGUGAUCUCCUUGAUUGCGUCCUCCUCGAGCCCGGAGACCGGCCCGUUAUUUCGUUUCAUC